Sparus aurata (gilthead seabream) is the source of this 2418-nucleotide long non-coding RNA. NCBI's taxonomy places the organism in Eukaryota, Metazoa, Chordata, Actinopteri, Spariformes, Sparidae. The record is from Ensembl.
AUGUACACAUGUUACAUUUGCAAGGUACACCACACCAGUUGUUCAAUGUUAUUUAGACAUUUGAAGUUUGAGCAUGGAUUGUAUCCCGGAAGGUCUCUGCGCUUGAACUGUGGAGAGCCUGGUUGUUCAUUUGUUUUUUGUACAUAUUCUGGUUACCAACGUCACCUAUCUCGAGCACAUAAAGACUAUCUUGAUCCAGAUCCCGUCAGCAGUUUUGAAUUUGAGCCUGUAGCUGGACCUUCCACACCAGUGAAUGUGGAUCCUCCUGUGAGGGUCACUACACAUGUUCCAGUUGAAAAGAAGAAUAUACUGGACAUGUGCAGCUCUGUUAUUGCUCAGGUUCAAGCCUCAGGUGUUCCAGAGAGUACUGUGCAGUGUCUAGUUGGCUCAAUGGAGGAACUGGUUAGUGGCAUCCAUGCUCACACAAAGGAAGCUGUUGUUAAUUGUUUGUCUUCUGAUGCAUCUAGAGAAACUUUGGAGAGAGUUGAGAGUUGUUUUGAUCAACUAGAAAACCCAUUUUCGUGUCUUAACACAGAAUCUAAAAGGAUGAGGCAUUUUGAAAAGAAAUGGAAUAUAGUAGAACCUGUAGAGCAUGUUCUGGGGGUCCGUUUUGAUGUAAGAAGAGAUAGAAUAACAGGCACAUAUAGGCAAGUUCCGGUCAAUGAUAAGUUCAUGUAUGUACCUAUCCGGGGGUCUCUCACAUCUAUGUUUAGUAACGGUGAACUCUGUAACAGUUUCCAAGAAGUAAAACCACACCAAGAGGGAUUUUACAGAGAUAUAAGUGAUGGGUCCUACUUUAAGAAUCAUAGUUUAUUUUCUCAGCAAGAACCCGCUCUUCAGAUCCAGCUCUACUAUGACGAUUUUGAAACUGCCAAUCCAUUGGGCUCAAAAAAGGGGGUGCACAAACUGGGAUGUGUUUAUUUUGUUUUGAGAAAUUUAUCACCAAAGCUCAAUUCUGUGUUAAUGAAUAUUCAUCUUGUCGCUCUCUUUCACUCAGAGGAUCUUAAGAAAUAUGGGUUUGAGCCGAUUCUGAAGCCACUUAUUGAUGAUCUUAAGAUUUUGGAGACUGAAGGAAUACAGUUGCCUUUUUCAGCUACACCUGUGAAGGGUUCAGUCAUUCAGGUUACAGGAGACAAUUUAGCUCUACAUGCACUUUUUGGUUUUGUUGAAUCAUUCAGUGCGACGUACUGCUGUAGGUUAUGUUUAACUGAUAGAAGUGAAUAUCAGUCAGUUUUCAGUGAAGAUCACCCAGGUUUAACUCUACGUUCAAAAGACCUUCAUGUUGAGCAUGUUCGUGUCAUCCAGGAAAAUCCUGCUUUGAAAUCAACAUUUGGUGUCAAACGAGACUGUCCACUCAAUUCCCUCCAGUUUUUCCAUUCAUCAAACAAUUACGCUGUAGACAUAAUGCAUGACCUGCUAGAAGGAGUGGUCCAAUAUGAGUUAAAGCUUGUGUUUCAGUAUUUGAUCAAGAAUUCAAUAUCCCUGUGUUCAUUGUCUGAAAGAAUUGUUAGCUUUAAUUAUGGAUACACACAGGGAACGAACAGGCCAGGUGGGCUUAAGCUGGAUGACAACAGCAAAGAUCUUGGACUUAAUGCUAUCCAGUCUUGGUGCCUCCUACGCAAUGCCCCGCUGAUAUUUGGAGAUUUAGUUGAAAGAGCAGAUACCUGUUGGCAAUUGUUACUCCUUUUAAUUCAAAUCGUAAACAUAGUGUUUUCACCAAUUGUAACUCAUGGUAUGACUUAUUUGAAACAUUUAAUUUUUGAACAUCACAAACUUUUUAAAUCCAUCUUCCCAGAGCACAAUCUCAUUCCAAAACAUCACCAUAUGAUCCACUACCCGAGCUGUAUUAGAAGAAUUGGACCACUCAUACACAUUUGGUGCAUGCGAUUUGAAGGAAAACAUAAUUUCUUCAAGAAAUCUGUUAAAAACUUCAAAAAUAUUGCAAAGACUCUGGUUAAGAAACAUCAGGCUCAGUUAGCAUUUCAUUUUGAGAACUUUUAUUUCCAAAGAUUACAGUUUGGUCCGAUCUCCGAAGUCCUGGUCAGCAGUAUAGAGGGUGGAGAGGUGCUGAAUGAAGCUUUUGAUGUGUUGUCAGUUUCCACCACUUCCUGGGUCAAAAACUAUGGCACCGAGUAUCAAGUUGGGAUGUAUGUGGUUACUGGAGUUGAAAAUGAGAUGCCUUUGUUCAACAGGAUUGACAGUAUAAUUGUUAAAGACAACAAUGCCUAUCUUUUGAUUUGUAAAGUCUCAAAUAAUUUUUUUGAUGAUCAUUUAAAUGCAUUUGGUAUUGAGGAGAAAAAUGAGGUUUUCACAGUGAUCUGUGUAAAUGACCUGGUAUAUUACAGACCUUGUGAUAGGCAAUUUUCAUAUGACACCGAUGACCAAGUGUACCUUGUUCCAUACUGUAAUUAUAUGUGA